GCGGUAAUUCCAGCUCCAAUAGCGUAUAUUAAAGUUGUUGCAGUUAAAAAGCUCGUAGUUGAAUUUCGGGAUCAAUAUUUCGGUCAUGCCGUUGGUAUGCACUGUUAUCAUUGAUUUCUCACCUUCUAAAGAACCGUAAUGCCAUUAAUUUGGUGUUACGGGGAAUUAGGACUGUUACCUUGAAAAAAUUAGAGUGUUUAAAGCAGGCUCACGCUUGAAUACAUUAGCAUGGAAUAAUGAAAUAGGACAUCCGAUUCUAUUUUGUUGGUUUCUAGGAUCGAUGUAAUGAUUAAUAGGGAUAGUUGGGGGCAUUAGUAUUCAAUUGUCAGAGGUGAAAUUCUUGGAUUUAUUGAAGACUAACUACUGCGAAAGCAUUUGCCAAGGAUGUUUUCA
RNAcentral lists this ribosomal RNA (393 nucleotides) under uncultured Funneliformis. RNAcentral's name for it is "SSU rRNA". It matches the Rfam family "Eukaryotic small subunit ribosomal RNA", at positions 576 to 972 of the family's 1831-position model. Lineage: Eukaryota; Fungi; Glomeromycota; Glomeromycetes; Glomerales; Glomeraceae. The record is from RNAcentral.